AGUGAACGCUGGCGGUAGGCCUAACACAUGCAAGUCGAACGGCAGCACAGUAAGAGCUUGCUCUUACGGGUGGCGAGUGGCGGACGGGUGAGGAAUACAUCGGAAUCUACUUUUUCGUGGGGGAUAACGUAGGGAAACUUACGCUAAUACCGCAUACAACCUACGGGUGAAAGCAGGGGAUCUUCGGACCUUGCGCGAUUGAAUGAGCCGAUGUCGGAUUAGCUAGUUGGCGGGGUAAAGGCCCACCAAGGCGACGAUCCGUAGCUGGUCUGAGAGGAUGAUCAGCCACACUGGAACUGAGACACGGUCCAGACUCCUACGGGAGGCAGCAGUGGGGAAUAUUGGACAAUGGGCGCAAGCCUGAUCCAGCCAUACCGCGUGGGUGAAGAAGGCCUUCGGGUUGUAAAGCCCUUUUGUUGGGAAAGAAGAGCAGCAGGUUAAUACCCCGCUGUUCUGACGGUACCCAAAGAAUAAGCACCGGCUAACUUCGUG
Molecule: ribosomal RNA, 492 nt
Filed under: uncultured bacterium
Lineage: Bacteria
Description: partial 16S ribosomal RNA
Rfam family: Bacterial small subunit ribosomal RNA
Source: RNAcentral